GGGGAGAUUCAGCCCCGUCCGCGUGUGUCGGACCACGGGCGGUUGCUCCCGGAUGCUCCCGGCCGCCGGUCGUGCCGCAAGGCACGCGCCGGUGCGAGUCGGGGGCACCGGCCACCCGUGGUUUUCAGGCCGCGGCGGGGUGCACUUUCUGGCCCCGAGUUGGACGUCGCGACCCGUUGGAGGAGUCUUGUGGACGAAGCGGCCUAAGGCCCGGGACUGARACCGGGGGUACUUCCGCUGAGGCGCGGGUCAAAGGUGCCCUCGGACCCCGGUAAGCCUGGCCGCCCUCCGACGGUCUUUGUUAGGGAGGAUAAAGGCCGGCUACCUCAGCGCCUGGCGCGAGGAGAGAGCGUCCGACCCGGUGGGCAAGAACUCCGGGGAAUGAUUCCGGGUGUGCGUGGCUCUCGUCACGCCCCCGGACCCCGUUAGACUGAUAGCCCCCGUGGACUCUCGGACAAUCCACCCACGGCCACUCCAGUCUGCGGCGCUUCAGCUUCGGGUGCUCUCCCGACCCGUCUUGAAA
RNAcentral lists this ribosomal RNA (523 nucleotides) under Macrotermes bellicosus. RNAcentral describes it as "partial 28S ribosomal RNA". The record is from RNAcentral. Lineage: Eukaryota; Metazoa; Arthropoda; Insecta; Blattodea; Termitidae.